Molecule: long non-coding RNA, 345 nt
Organism: Galeopterus variegatus (Sunda flying lemur)
Lineage: Eukaryota; Metazoa; Chordata; Mammalia; Dermoptera; Cynocephalidae
Exons: 4
Source: RefSeq, a predicted model, not a curated record
UAUGUUUCUUAACAGGACUUAGGUUUGGAAUACUAUAUAUUAGGAGAAUCUUUUGAGACUUCUGCUCCUUGGGACAGGGUUGUAGAUCUCUGUAGAAAUGUAAAAGAAAGAAUAACAAGGGAGUGCAAAGAGAAGGGUGUUCAGUUUGCUCCUCUUUCUACAUGCCGGGUGACGCAGACUUACGAUGCAGGCGCAUGUAUCUACUUCUAUUUUGCCUUUAACUACAGGGGAAUUAGUGACCCACUGACCGUUUUUGAACAAACUGAGGCAGCUGCUAGAGAAGAAAUCCUCGCUAAUGGAGGGAGCCUGUCGCAUCACCAUGGAGGUAUUCUUUUUUGGGAGUAG